AUUUUAUUAAAUAAGAUAGGCUGUAAAGCCUUGAAAUUAAGCACUUUGGGGCGUUUUCCCCUAGUGCUUUUUGAUUUCU
Molecule: small RNA, 79 nt
Filed under: Streptococcus pseudopneumoniae IS7493
Lineage: Bacteria; Bacillati; Bacillota; Bacilli; Lactobacillales; Streptococcaceae
Description: Streptococcus sRNA SpF01
Rfam family: Streptococcus sRNA SpF01
Source: Rfam by way of RNAcentral